CAGCCGCCGCGGGAAUACAGAGGAUGCAAGCGUUAUCCGGAAUGAUUGGGCGUAAAGCGUCUGUAGGUGGCUUUUCAAGUCCGGCGUCAAAUCCCAGGGCUCAACCCUGGACAGGCGGUGGAAACUACCAAGCUGGAGUACGGUAGGGGCAGAGGGAAUUUCCAGUGGAGCGGUGAAAUGCGUUGAGAUCGAAAAGAACACCAACAGCGAAAGCACUCUGCUGGGACGACACUGACACUAAGGGACGAAAGCUAGGGGAGCAAAUGGGAUUAGAUACCCGCGUAGUCCCUGUCUCUUAUAC
RNAcentral lists this ribosomal RNA (301 nucleotides) under uncultured bacterium. RNAcentral describes it as "partial 16S ribosomal RNA". It matches the Rfam family "Bacterial small subunit ribosomal RNA", at positions 509 to 807 of the family's 1533-position model. The record is from RNAcentral.